Molecule: non-coding RNA, 72 nt
Organism: Caerostris extrusa
Lineage: Eukaryota; Metazoa; Arthropoda; Arachnida; Araneae; Araneidae
Source: the annotation of a GenBank genome assembly
GGCCUGAUGGCCGAGUGGCUAAAGCUCUGGCACUCGGUAUGUUUGUAGUGGUUCGGAAUCCACUUUAAGCCA